GUGGAGAAGGCCAGGGGAGGUGGCAGAGAGGGGGACCCCUGAUGACUAUGGAGAAGCUGCGGCAGCCUUCUUGGGAAGAAUGCAACAAGCUGGGAGACAGAAGCCCAAUUGCAUGUUAACAGUCCAGUUUCUCUUCUGCUGCCACAGUCCUUGUCUUUGGCAAUCCCUUGCAGGUACAGCAUAAGCAGUAGCAGCAUGGCUGCUUCAAAACAUCCUACAAUGUUUCUCAGCGAUGACCUGAAGUGACCUUGUGUAGGGGAGUCCCCUGUGGUUCAGUGUUAGGAUCCUUGUCUGCCACACAAGACACCCGAAUUCAAUUCUCAGAUGCUUAUACAACUGCAACCCUGGAGGCAACAAAUGUCUGGACUCAGUCUGGUCUUUGGAUUCUGUCUCAGUGGCCUAAAGUAGGGAUGGAAGGUCUGGGCAGCCUCUACUCCUCCAAAAUGCCUGCCUUGCAUAUGCUUUGACAGGGCUGGAUUAACCCUUUAGUGGGCCCUAGGCAAACAAACUUGUGGGCCCUGGGCCAGUUGAGGCCCCCUCCCUACCCCGGCGCUGCCACCCACAGGGAGUGGCGCUUGGAGCUGCCACUAGGAAGCUUCUGCUGUGGCAGCGAAGCCAGCAGAGCGGAGGGAAGGGGAGGGGAAGGGAGGUGGACUGGGCUAUUUGCUCUGCUGCUGUGGAAGUAAGGACUGGAGCCCCCUGCAGCUCAGAGCCCUAGGCAUGUGACUAGUUUGCAUUAAUCCAGCCCUAUGUGUUGAAGGUCUGGGUGACCUGUCAUGCAUAUACCAUGAUCCGGAAGGAUUGACGGUUGCUUAACCAUAUUUAUCCUCUGCUUAUUACAGUGUCCAAGAUGAUUGCAAAUUGUUAUCAUGAAAUAUGCAUAGAUCAGCUGAUAUGAAUUCCUCUUAGAAAGCACGGGCCAUUUUAAAAGUAAGGGCUUAAUCUGCCUUAAUUUCUCACACUGAACAGUAACCUUGGGCCAGAUCCCAAAGUCUAAAAGUCAAUGAGAACCUUUCUGUUGAUUUAGUGGGCUUUUGAGGGGUCUUAUUUUGUUCAUGCUGUCCUUGAUUAAAGUUGGGUUACUUGUGAAGCAAAUAAACAUAAAGGAAACAGAA
Molecule: long non-coding RNA, 1115 nt
Organism: Alligator mississippiensis (American alligator)
Lineage: Eukaryota; Metazoa; Chordata; Crocodylia; Alligatoridae
Exons: 4
Source: RefSeq, a predicted model, not a curated record